AAGUCGUAACAAGGUAACCGUAGGUGAACCUGCGGUUGGAUCAUUAUUGAAUCUUUUCAAGUUACUAGUUAAGCCUACCCAUUAAGGGAAAGCACUAGUGACUCUACCCCCAAAUUACCUUGUGAAUUAUGUUUAGUACUCGUCUUUGGCUAUUACCUUUAUAAGGAAAUAGCCUUUGACUUUAAAAACCUUUAGAUAUUGUUAUCAAAUUGAAUUAUUUACUUGAAAAAAAAAAGUAAACAACUUUUGACAACGGAUCUCUUGGCUCUC
RNAcentral lists this unclassified non-coding RNA (270 nucleotides) under fungal sp. Its description in RNAcentral is "partial internal transcribed spacer region". The stretch from base 1 to 46 matches the Rfam family "Eukaryotic small subunit ribosomal RNA", at positions 1786 to 1831 of the family's 1831-position model. Lineage: Eukaryota; Fungi. The record is from RNAcentral.